GCGUCUACCUAUUAAGGCACGCCUGCCCGGUGAUAAUUAAACGGCCGCGGUACCCUAACCGUGCAAAGGUAGCAUAAUCAUUUGUCUAUUAAUUGUAGACCUGUAUGAAAGGCAAAAUGAGAGCCCAACUGUCUCUUAUAAUAGAUCAAUUAAACUGAUCUUUCAGUACAAAAGCUGAAAUACCCCCAUAAGACCAGAAGACCCUGUGAAGCUUUAAUUACCCUAUUAAACCCAAUAAUAGCUAAUUUCGGUUGGGGCGACCUUGGAACAAAAAAGAACUUCCAAAUACAUGACCUAAGUCAUCAAAAAGGCAUACAAGCCACUAUUAGACCCAGUACAGCUGAUAAUUGAACCAAGUUACUCCAGGGAUAACAGCGCCAUCUUCUUCAAGAGCCCAUAUCAAAAAGAAGGUUUACGACCUCGAUGUUGGAUCAGGACAUCCUAGCAAUGCAGCCGUUACUAAGGGUUCGUUUGUUCAACGAUUAACAGUCCUACGUGAUCUGUUUGUGCGGGGAAAGCGGUUUUAAUGAUCAGACUUWUUAUGUACUWCUAMAAUCACWUARAAGAUGMWCMSWUACUYUUCGGRUAGSAGGAUUAGMAUAUGCCACAGYCYUUGUCGAMGARAAUGUAUGUGGSCUCG
This 640-nucleotide ribosomal RNA is filed under the name Cerastes cerastes (horn viper). Its description in RNAcentral is "partial 16S ribosomal RNA". It matches the Rfam family "Bacterial large subunit ribosomal RNA", at positions 1835 to 2633 of the family's 2925-position model. The record is from RNAcentral. Lineage: Eukaryota; Metazoa; Chordata; Lepidosauria; Squamata; Viperidae.